UUUAUAAGCCCUAGUUCAACGAAUGCAUUUUUAUUCCUCCUUUUUGCCUAAAAUUUGCCGCGCUCGCUCUCUUCCUCCCACCUGCGAUUCCCUUUUCCCUCUCCCUCUUCACUGGCGACUCCCUUUUUCUUCUUCACCAGCGACAUUCCCUCUCUCACUUCAUUUCUCUAUUCCUCUCCAUUGCCCACAUAUACACACAACGUGGAGAAAAUAGAGGAUUUGGGCGUGAGGAGGUGAAUGGAGGAGGCUUGAUUUGGCGUGAGGAAGCGAAUGGAGGAGGCUUGAUUUGGUUGUUUGGUAAGUUACUCUCACAACCACUGCUAUACUCACACACAUACACCCACCCACUGCUAUACACAUACAAACACACAUUAUCACACACAGUAUACACACACCCACUGUCAAUUAAUUGUGCACGCAGUGGGGGGAGGGGAAAUAUACAACAAUUGAAUUAGAAUCCAUUAUUUUUUUAUAUAUUAAAUGCUUUUGCAAAAACCAUUAUUACCGGCUGAAAAGUAAGUUUGGAUAAAAAAAAAGUGUGCAAUUUAGCUAUAGCAUACAGAGGUUUGAUUUUUCACUUCUCUAGCUGCCCUCAUUUUCCCAAAGUGUGGCCCCUUGUGUGGUUAGCCUCUUCCUUGCGUGGCAUUGUAAGUACAUACACUGAUUAAUUAAUUACACACACUAAUUUUUGGUUGGGCAUAUAUUUAUUUAAGAAAUUUGUGUUGAUUUGUUUGGAAAUAGUAAUUUAGGCUUGUAUAAAUUUGAAAGCAAGAACUAGGUAUAUAAAUGUUUGAACUAUAUUAGUCGGUGUUCUAAAAGUCACUAGUCAGUCCCAUGUCGGUUGGCUACCGACUAGCGACUAGGGGAUUAAUCGGGGAUUAAUCGGCUAGUCGGAUUUUCAAUUUUUUUAAAAACAAUAUAUAUUCUCCUUCCUCCUUCAUAAGUUUUGAAUAAGUAGAAUAACAUAAGUAACACAAAUCAUCAAAUAAAAACAUGAAAACUAAGUAAAACCAAAUAGUAACACAAAUCAACUACGUCGCGUAUUAGAGGCUGCCGAAGACAAAGAUAGUGAUUGAGCCAUUGAUAGUGAUAUUAUACCUAUGCAUAAAAAUAUAAAAUCAGUCAUUUCUCCAAACCCCAGUCAGUUUUAAUAAUUUAAUUUAUAACUGAAGUUGAAACAAUUUAAAAAUUAAAAUGAAAUAUUACAAUUAACUAUUUUAAUUUAUCCAACCUUUUCUUUAAUGCCCACUAAGGAACUAAUUAACUAAAACCAAAUAAAAAUUGUAAACUGUUUACAAAAAAAGUAUAUCAGUAAACUAAUUUAAUUUAUCCAAACUGUUUAAAAAUUAUAUCAGUACCUUAAAUAGUUAAAUCAGUACCUUAUAUAAGUCUUAUAAGCUUAUAAGCCAUUAAGCCUUAUAUCAGUACCUUAUAUCAGUAUUUGUUCUGCGUAGUCGUCGGUGUCGGCGAGAGAAGAAGCGUAGUCGUAGUCGAGAAGAAACAGUAGCGAGCAGCAGCAACAGUAGUCGGCGAACAUCAGCAGCAGUAGUCGGCGAGCAGCAGCAGCAGUAGCGAGAAGAAACAGUAGCGACGUCGGUCGUCGUCGUUGUCGGUCAGGCGAGAAGGAGUCGGCGUCAUCGUCGGUCAGUAUUUUUUCUGCGUAGUCAUCGUCGGUCAGGCGAGAAGGAGUCAGCGUCGUCGGUCGAAGCCUCGAAGGAAGAAGAAGCAGUAGCGUGGAUCGUUCAAUUUUUUUUCCUAAGAAGUAAGAACAAGCAGCAGCAGUCGGGUAGGGUUUAAAAGUUUUCAUAUGUUUUGUUUUUACAUAAAUUACACUAUGGCCCCAAACAUUUCAUAUGUUUUGUUUCUUACCCUCAUAUGCUCCGAUUUGUUCUGAUUUACCCCGACUUUUCCG
This 1912-nucleotide long non-coding RNA is filed under the name Panax ginseng (ginseng). Its description in RNAcentral is "long non-coding RNA (PGIN_LNC001261)". Lineage: Eukaryota; Viridiplantae; Streptophyta; Magnoliopsida; Apiales; Araliaceae. The record is from RNAcentral.